GGGGUUGUACUGGUUUCGACGGGGGUCAUGCAGCUGGUGAAGCUAUCCGCACGCAAUGCGUCAAAUGGCAAACUUAAAAUUAAACGCUGAAGAUAAUUUAGCAUACGCAGCCUAAUGGCUGCUGUCAGACUUCGUGCACUCACACAUGAAGACCCUGGCAUCGACAAUGUGAGAAACGACAUGCAGUAAGCUUUGCCUGUAUGGGCGUAUCAUGAAGCUACUAAAACCGUAAGGGUGUCUGUUCCCGUGCGGCGGAGGGAAUGUCAAAGAACCGACUAUGAUAGUAGAAGAACAGGGAAUUGAUUUUCGGACAGGGGUUCGAUUCCCCUCAGCUCCAU
This 338-nucleotide transfer-messenger RNA is filed under the name Candidatus Ventrimonas merdavium. It matches the Rfam family "transfer-messenger RNA". Rfam says of the family: Bacterial tmRNA, also known as 10Sa RNA or SsrA, is named for its dual tRNA and mRNA-like properties. Its role is to liberate the mRNA from a stalled ribosome. The record is from RNAcentral. Lineage: Bacteria; Bacillati; Bacillota; Clostridia; Lachnospirales; Lachnospiraceae.